UGGGACAGGCUGGCCCGGGACUGGCCGGCAUUGUGGUCAAACUGCAUUAAGCAGAAGAUCAGGUCCGUCGGCACGAGCUCAAACUCAUAGGGCGGGUUGGUGAUGACAUACCUGGACAGGGAAAGCAGAGAUGUCACCUCCUGAGAGUAACUGAGUAAAGAAUUCAACUCUCUCUGAACCAAAAGCAAUGGCCUGGUUACUCAGGACUUUCAGAGGAUCUGGAAGAUGCACUCCUAGCUGGUCUGAGGCCUUAAACAUUCUUUUUCUUGUUAAAUGGAAACUUCCUCUGUUUAACUCAAUAAAGGAGGCCAGCCAGGAGCCCAGGCAGAGAUGUGGAAUUAGAGCCAGUAAUGGAAGAACCAAACUUCGCUUCUCGUGGUCUACAUGUACCUUUCUAUACAAGGUCAAAGUCACUUUCAAGUAGCCCAACCGCAAGAGGUUUCAUGAAGUGUGAUGCAACUUUCAUUUCAUAAUUUUCGGACAAUCCCAGAUAUACAUCACAAGAUCUUUGUUUACCAUGACAGAGUGUCUCCUUAGACUAUUCUCGCUCUUUACCUUUUAAAAUCUACUUUGGUGAGAGAAUUUGGAAUUUGGAAUUCACCACAUGGAAGAAUCUAAGAAACCUGCCUACUUAUCAGCACUACUUUGUUGUUCUUCACAAUUAGUUGGAGCUUUCUUUGGUCAACAGCAGAUGUGACUAAGAAAAUCACGCUGUUUCACUUAGAGCAGUGGUCACCAAGUGUGGUCCUUAGGCCACACAGGUCAGCAUCACCUAGGAACUAGGAAAUGCAAGUUCUUAAGCAAUCCCACCCAGACCUACUGAAUUGGAAGUGCUGAGGAUGGGGUCCAGCAAUCUGUGGUUGAACAAGCUCUGCAGGCAUCCAGGAGCAGAGCUGUGGGGCAGCAGAAUCUGUGAUGACAGAGAAUGAUGAUGUAUUUUUGCCAGCAGAUGCUUUUGCUCCUGUUUUGAUACCCCAAUAUUCGGAUGCAGAAAAGGACUCUGAGCAUUGCUGACGGGUGUGCUCUGCACACCUAUCUCUUCAGGAUCUGAAUAAUUUGGUGGAAAGACAAUGCCUUUUCUGGAAAAGGGUGUCAGGUCAGUCAUAUUGGAGGAUGCAAAUUUCCUUAUGUGAUGGGAGUGAGGGUUGGGGUAGGGCACUUCACGGAGCAUUCAGCAGUCUGCAAUUAAGCAUCACUCCAAGGCUUUCUGCAUAGGUGAUGGCUGUUUCUGCAUCAUGGGGCAAACCAGGUGCUAGAACUUCAAAUGCCAAUUACCAAAGGCGCUUCCUGCGGAGGAAACCUCUCUACAACUCACCUGACCCAGAAGGCACACAUUUUUUUCUGGGUUAACAUAAAUGCUAAAAUUGAAGAAAUGAAACAUUCUAAAGGCAGGAUCAUGUAGGUGAGAUCCUUUGCCUCCUAAGCUUUUGUCCUGCCAGUCUUUUCUGUGCCUUACCAUGAUACCUGUGCUAGAAGUCUUCUGGGAAGCUCUUGUAUAGAACCUCCAACUCUGGCAGGGUUAGUCUUCAGGGAUGCUUCAGGCAGAGACCUUCUCAAUAUCUAUCCUUGCGUCACAUGGGCAUUGAGUAUAAGACAGCUGAGUUAGGGUCCUGUUCAGAGCCUGGGAUCAGGGAACCCGCAUAGUCUAAGGAAUACAGGAGUCCCUCUUCCCACUGCCAAGGACAAGUUUGCAAACCUGACUAGCGAAGCCCUUCUUCUGAUUAAGGCAACGUGGCCCCCUGGUUAUGAGUACAGAUUUCCAAAUCCAAUUAGUGUGGCUUUUAAUACCUGCUUUGCUAUCCAAUAGGCACAACAAUGAAAAAGUUGCCUAACUUUUCUCUGCCUUGAAUUCCUCAUCCAUAUAACAGAGAUGAAAAAACAAAACAAAACAAAAAUUUAUAGAUUAGAGUUAAAUGAGAGGAUUUGUGAAACUUCUGAUAGACAAAGCAUACUCAAAAAAUGGGAGUUUAUAAAAAGAACCAUCAACUAGCAAUGCAACCAAUUUAGACAAUUCCCUCUCCGGGUGUCUCGGCGUUCUGAUUCUAAUCUCUGAGAGCUGGCUCAGAACACAAGGGUGGCCCGCUUGGCCUCUAAAGUUUGAUGAUUCUCAGGUCCUGUAAAAGGACACUGAGGAAACCAUGAAAUGCCAGGGGAGGGACCAAGGCACUGUAACAGGGAAACCUGAGCCCACAGCGCCAUCUAGCCCGCUUGGCCCACGCCCCGCUGUGCCUGCAAGUGUAACCCGCCCAAGCAUCCUCCUCUUUUUAUUUUUUUAAAGUAUAAUUACCGGAGCUUAUGUUUCACAGUUAAUGCUGUCAAGCCUUUUAAACUAAUUGGUCUUUUAUAGAAAAUUUAACUGAAAAUUAACACAUCUUUUAAUAACAUUGCCUUAACUUUAAUGGCUCUCUGCCUUUCGUUUAUAAUUGCUCUAAAAUUGUCAUUUUCCAUGUCAUAGCUGCCAUUUUUUAUAUUUGCUAGUUUUCAUGGUGUAGAUUUUUAUUUUUAGUAUUUUUCUUUCGUGAGGGAUGAAAAUGAUUGGAUUUUUUUUUCCCUACCCCAGGCCUGCCUGGCCUGAUGUGACAGCAGUGGUCUGUCCUGAGUCUAGCAGGACAUACCUCCAUGUACCCGACUGACACCACUGCUAGCUCCUCUGCCUCGGGACGGCCAUGUGCCCUCUGUCUCCGUGUGAGCAGUUGAAAUGGAGGCUCUUGAGUGGAGUGUAAGAAAUAGGGUUAUGGAGCAAUAAAUUGUUUAUGUAACUAAAAUCACAUGGCAUUAGGUUAGCUUGGACUGAUAGAGAACUCAGGCCUCUCCAUAACACCAGGUUCAAGGGUUUGGCCCUUAAUGAAAGUACAGGAAAGACAGUAAAUCAUGUGAACCCACAUUCCAGACGGUCACACCCUCCAGUCUUACUGAUAUAACUUCGUUUCUGGCAAACAGGCCAGCUCUCUGAUAUUAAAGAUGAGAACAUGGAAUCAUAUCUUCUGGGUACCCCAACUCAUCUACCCACUAAGCUCCCAAAUAUUAUCUAAGAUGUGUGUUCAUGAAAGAGAGAAAGAGAGAGGAUAAGUGCACACAAACACAUAAAUAUAUAUACAUAUAUGUACAUGCAUAUAUACCAAAAAAAUCUGCUUCUUUGUAAUUACAUGUGAUCUUAAGAAAUACGUAUCUGCUCUGUGAAAGAUUUUUAUAUGCCUUUGCCAUUCUCCAAUUAGCAGAAAGUCAUAAGGAGUAACAUCAUUCCCAUUUAACAGUAGAAAAAAUGUGCAAGGGCUGCCGGUGAGCCAGGACCAGAAGCUACAAGUCCUAAUUCAUGGCCCAGUUUCCCUCCUCCAAGUCACUGCCUUUGUUCUGAAAAUAUGAAUGCACUGGACAUGCAAACUCCUGCCCUGGGCAUUGUGGUGCAGUGGGCAGAGCAAAGACACACCUGCCUUAACUGGCUCACAUUGAAAUUUCUCUCUAGCUCCUGGGGGAUCCUGCGCAUGGGUCUCUCCAUAGGCUGGCAUUCACGCUUCUCAGAUGUAUCGUACACUAGCAAAAGGGGCCUCUGCUUUUCUCUGCUCUUUCUCUUAACACUGUUAUAAUAUGCUUUUUCUUUAUUUUUCCAGAUUAGGUAGGCCCUGCAAACCUAAAGCUUCAUUAAAUCUUGUUUUCUAAAAAAAAAACGACAACACUCCCAACUUGUGUGCAUUGGAACUCAUUAGCUCUUGUAGUAGGGUUCCCCUUUUUCUCCUCAGAAGGAGGUGGCUCCUCACUGCUCCUUCAAUAACGAUGGUUCAGUGUGAUUGGUAUCUGUUUAGGAAAGGUCCAAGGCUCAAGGAAAAUGGACAUCAUGUGCACAACCUCCUAACUCAGAGGACAAGCAAGUGACCGGAAGGCCAAGGAUGCUGUCUGACCACAGACAUUGCAAUGCAGACACAUAAGAUUAGAAGCAAAACGCAGGAGGCUGGUAAGGCCAGGACAGUGGGAUGAACCAAGCAGGGAAGGGACAUGAAUGAAGCAGGCCUGGUGGGAUACAAUAGAGAGUAGUGUGGACUGUGGCUAAAGGGAGCAGCUGCUCAGCUCAAGCCAAUAGCUGCUUUACGGGAAUCUGGGACUCUGCCUUCUGACUCUAAUUUAAAGAAGGCAGGAACCCCGAUUUUAUAUAAAAUCUUAUUUUAAAAUAUUGGCAACAAAUUCAAUUUAAAAAUAAAAACUUGAUAAAUGCAGAAGUUGUCUGUGGGGUAGAUGUAGACUGCAAUGUGACAUUUCGAGACUUCUAUUACAGAUCUUUUAUUAGAAACAAGAUAUCAAGCCAAGUACUAUGCCAAUAUAUUGUGCUAUUUCUUCUUCUAAAAUGAGUGCAUGAGGAUGGGGUGUUGGACAAAAAAAUAAUCAAGGGUUGCGCUUCAGGAAUCAACUCAGUGAUGAGCUCACUGUCCUAGCCAGCGUAUCCAGAAACAGUGGCAUUAGGAGGAAGCUGGUGGCUUUCAGAAGAAGGAGGAUCCUCUCGCCAAGUCUGAAGUGUCUCAUUCCAGACUUAGAACUUGGCCAGAUGUGGUCUAUUGUACUCGGAAUACUCAGUGUGGCCAGCGGCCUUGCCUUCUUGAUUGCCUUCCUGUCUACCACAUUCCAACCAUAAUGGCCUCCAACUGCUUCCUCCAACAAACCAAACCCAGCUUGUCACCACUGUGCAGCUUUGGCCUUUAUAGUGUUCUCUCCCUCUGUUUUUUUCAGUGUCAGCUUCAAUGUUACCUCCUAGGAUAAUUUUACUCUGACCACUGAGGGUAAAACAGGUCUCCACACCCAUUCAAGCUAUUUCAUGUUCUUCAAAUCAAUUAUCCUUAUGUGACACUAUUCAUUUAUUCACUUACCUAUUUACUCUUAACCCACUAGAAUGAAAGUUUAAAUAACAUGAAGGCAAGGUCUUCAUCCUUCUUUUUUACAACUGAAUCCGCAGCAUGGGGAAUCAUGCCUGGUGUCCAGUAAGUGCCCAAUAAAUGUAUUGAUUAAAAACACUAGCAACAAUAAAUACAUACAGAGCUUGUCAAGUGCUAAGCACCGCUCUAAUCGCUUUACAACCUUUACCCAUUUACUCAUCUCUGCAACCCUGUGACAUAGGUACUAUUACUAUCUUCAUUUUAAAGAUGAGAAAACUGAGGCACAGGGAGGUUAAGGUUACCCAGCCAGUAAACAGCAGUUCUGGAAUCCAGAUCUAAGCCAUCUGGCGCUUGAGUCCAUGUCCAGUAUUCACUUUUCAGGGUCCAAGUGGAGCUUAAGUUGGGGCUGGGGUUGGGAGAAAGUGAUAGCUGGAUGAAAAAGAAAUCUGAAUACUCAUAUGUGAGUCUCAUCCCUAAAAACAGAGAGGAUUCCUUUCACCUGGUG
This 5364-nucleotide long non-coding RNA is filed under the name Homo sapiens (human). RNAcentral's name for it is "HSALNT0164713". The record is from RNAcentral. Lineage: Eukaryota; Metazoa; Chordata; Mammalia; Primates; Hominidae.